This 478-nucleotide ribosomal RNA is filed under the name uncultured bacterium. Its description in RNAcentral is "partial 16S ribosomal RNA". It matches the Rfam family "Bacterial small subunit ribosomal RNA", at positions 28 to 523 of the family's 1533-position model. The record is from RNAcentral.
GACGAACGCUGGCGGCGUGCUUAACACAUGCAAGUCGAACGGUAAGGCCCUUCGGGGUACACGAGUGGCGAACGGGUGAGUAACACGUGGGUGAUCUGCCCUGCACUUCGGGAUAAGCCUGGGAAACUGGGUCUAAUACCGGAUAGGACUCCGGACUGCAUGGUCUGGGGUGGAAAGCUUUUGCGGUGUGGGAUGGGCCCGCGGCCUAUCAGCUUGUUGGGGGGGUGAGGGCCUACCAAGGCGACGACGGGUAGCCGGCCUGAGAGGGUGACCGGCCACACGGGGACUGAGGUACGGCCCAGACUCCCACGGGAGGCAGCAGUGGGGAAUAUUGCACAAUGGGCGCAAGCCUGAUGCAGCGACGCCGCGUGAGGGAUGACGGCCUUCGGGUUGUAAACCUCUUUCAGCACAGACGAAGCGCAAGUGACGGCAUGUGCAGAAGAAGGACCGGCCAACUACGUGCCAGCCGCCGCCGUAA